GAUGAGCGCUGGCGGCGUGCCUAAUACAUGCAAGUCGAGCGAAUGGAUUGAGAGCUUGCUCUUAUGAAGUUAGCGGCGGACGGGUGAGUAACACGUGGGUAACCUGCCCAUAAGACUGGGAUAACUCCGGGAAACCGGGGCUAAUACCGGAUAACAUUUUGAACCGCAUGGUUCGAAAUUGAAAGGCGGCUUCGGCUGUCACUUAUGGAUGGACCCGCGUCGCAUUAGCUAGUUGGUGAGGUAACGGCUCCCCAAGGCAACGAUGCGUAGCCGACCUGAGAGGGUGAUCGGCCACACUGGGACUGAGACACGGCCCAGACUCCUACGGGAGGCAGCAGUAGGGAAUCUUCCGCAAUGGACGAAAGUCUGACGGAGCAACGCCGCGUGAGUGAUGAGGGCUUUCGGGUCGUAAAACUCUGUUGUUAGGGAAGAACAAGUGCUAGUUGAAUAAGCUGGCACCUUGACGGUACCUAACCAGAAAGCCACGGCUAACUACGUGCCAGCCGCCGCAGUAA
RNAcentral lists this ribosomal RNA (515 nucleotides) under uncultured bacterium. RNAcentral's name for it is "partial 16S ribosomal RNA". It matches the Rfam family "Bacterial small subunit ribosomal RNA", at positions 28 to 523 of the family's 1533-position model. The record is from RNAcentral.